GUGUAUGUUCGGAGACAUCGUCUGUUUACAUUCACGCUUUCCUUAAGAUUUCUGUAAAUCAUCAUCUCUGUAUCGGUCGACGUCAAUGAUACCGUGGUCUAAUGCUGGGUCUGGCUGUGUGCAUUUCAACAUUCAAUCUAUUCAAGCUGACCACUCGGCAUGAAGACAACUCCCAUGCUUGCAUACAUCAAAACAUUGGAAACUGCGGUGGAGUAUCCAUGACUUGGCUUUUGUUUUGUUCAUUCCAGGUUUGAACAAGAUGUCCAGUCGAUAUCAGCCUUUCCUUCAAGGAAGCUUAUUAGUAUUUUAAUCACUUUUCUUCCUUAUCUUAUGUAUUUAUUUAUCUUAAGCCUUUAGUGUGGUCUGUGCCCAAAAAAGAGAUGCUGUUCAAAAAUCUGUAAAUUUCUAAUAACUGUAGAAUAUCAAGUCAAUGAAAGCAAGUGCACGAUGAAAGUUUGUUUACUAUUAUGUUACGUUAUUCCUCUAUUGACUUGAACAAGUAAAUUUAUUUGCAUUACUUUCUUUCGUGUUUUGGUAAGCUGUCAUUCAGGAAGAGUUCUUUAGUUGUUUAUUAGAGUUGCAAUGUUUUAACAUGGGCUGAGAUUUUAUUGAUCACUAUUCCUAUUGAAUUAAUUACUUCCAUAGUAUUCUAUAAAAAUGUGGAAACCGCUCUGUUAAGUAGUUUGUGACAAUAAGAGCAUAGCUGAAGGUUCCACAUUCUAAUUUUAUUUUGAAGUCCGAUCAAAAUAACCAGUGUGCUGUUAGUGUUCCUACUUUAAUUAGAAUCAGCUGUUGGUUAUAUUAAGUGAAUGAGGAGUAUGUUUAUGAAGUCACAGAAUUCAAAGCAAAAUAAAGUUUCUUUGAAAAUGCA
Molecule: long non-coding RNA, 871 nt
Organism: Thrips palmi
Lineage: Eukaryota; Metazoa; Arthropoda; Insecta; Thysanoptera; Thripidae
Exons: 3
Source: RefSeq, a predicted model, not a curated record